Molecule: long non-coding RNA, 592 nt
Filed under: Bos taurus (domestic cattle)
Lineage: Eukaryota; Metazoa; Chordata; Mammalia; Artiodactyla; Bovidae
Description: long non-coding RNA NONBTAT024619
Source: RNAcentral
UUCAUUUCAUUUAGAAAAAAAUCAGUCCUCGAUACCAACCACAGGCAAUUACUUCCUUCAUCCCAUCUUUCAGCAUCCUUAGAACACUAUGUUUUUGACUGAGUUGGAAAAUUCAUAGUUUCACUGGUUUUAAUGUUGUUAGAACUGGAGCUGGUGUCUGCCAACUGGCAUGUCUGUAUUUCUCAUUCAUUUGUGGUUAUUUAAUUGUGCUCUGGUUUCUUCCACCUACAAGUUGGUAUCCCUCCUGCCCUCGUAUUUCAGAGACUUGGCUUGAUUGUUGUGGUUGAGGUAGUCCUGGCAGGGCCACUGUAAAGCCACAGGACUAAGAGAAAGAAGAAUCAACUCACAUUUUGAGGAAAACAAGUUUGACAUUUCAAACAAAAAUCUGAAAAGUCUGUGAGAUGGGUGGUUUUUUACCUAUUUAUUUAGUUCAGAAACUUUGGACAUUCUCAUACAUAGUUUUUUAGAUGAUGGUUGACAUACUAUAUGUUGAUAACUUAAGAGAUUACAGAUUUAAAAAAAAAAAAAAAAAGAGAUUACAGAUUUAUGAAAGAAAUGCAAAUCCUCUGAUCCUGCUCUUCGAAGUGAACAU